CCUACGGGCGGCAGCAGUGAGGAAUAUUGGUCAAUGGGCGGGAGCCUGAACCAGCCAAGUCGCAUGAAGGAAGAAGGUACUUAGUAUUGUAAACUUCUUUUGUCGGGGAACAAAGGCGGAGACGCGUCUCCGGAUGAGUGUACCCGAAGAAAAAGCAUCGGCUAACUCCGUGCCAGCAGCCGCGGUAAUACGGAGGAUGCGAGCGUUAUCCGGAUGUAUUGGGUUUAAAGGGUGCGCAGGCGGGAGAUCAAGUCAGCGGUAAAAUGUCGGGGCGCAACCCCGGCCGGCCGUUGAAACUGGUGAUCUUGAGUGGGCGAGAAGUAUGUGGAAUGCGUGGUGUAGCGGUGAAAUGCAUAGAUAUCACGCAGAACUCCGAUUGCGAAGGCAGCAUACCGGCGCCCGACUGACGCUGAGGCACGAAAGCGUGGGGAUCGAACAGGAUUAGAUACCCCAGUAGUG
RNAcentral lists this ribosomal RNA (459 nucleotides) under uncultured bacterium. RNAcentral describes it as "partial 16S ribosomal RNA". It matches the Rfam family "Bacterial small subunit ribosomal RNA", at positions 338 to 795 of the family's 1533-position model. The record is from RNAcentral.